CAUUACAACAGCUAUUAUCUACUCGAACUUGAUUCCUAAUUGGAUAUCUGCGAUAAUUUUGGAGCUAAUACGUGCACCAAAUUCCUUUUCUCUGAAGAGGGAGCACUUAUUAGAUGAAGACCAAUCGGGGCAACCCGAAAUGGUGACUCUGAAUAAUUUCGCUGAUCGCAUGGUCUAGUACCGGCGACGUAUCGUUCGAGUGUCUGCCUUAUCAACUUUCGAUGGAAGUCUAUGUGACUACCAUGGUUGUGACGGGUAACGGAGAAUAAGGGUUCGACUCCGGAGAGGGAGCCUGAGAAACGGCUACCACAUCCAAGGAAGGCAGCAGGCGCGUAAAUUACCCACUCUCAAUUCGAGGAGGUAGUAACUAUCAAUACCGAGACAGAUCUCUUUGAGGCCUGUUAUCGGAAUGGAAACAAUUUAAAUCCUUUAAUGAGGAUCUAUGAGAGGGCAAGUCUGGUGCCAGCAGCCGCGGUAAUUCCAGCUCUCAAAGUGUAUAUCGUCAUUGCUGCGGUUAAAAAGCUCGUAGUUGGAUCUGAGCCUGUGGACGUGGUGUUGUGAAUGCAACAACUGCGAUCCUGGGUUAUUUUGUCGGUUUUCUGUAGCUUGUCUUUAUUGGCUUGAUGCAGUGGCUGGCAUAUUACCUUGAAUAAAUCAGAAUGCUCAAUAUAAGCGUUUUGCUUGUAUGAUUGUGCAUGGAAUAAUGGAAUAGGACUUCGGUUCGUUCUGUUGGUCUUAGGAUCGGUGUAAUGGUUAAGAGGGGCAGACGGGGGCAUCCGUAUCGCUGCGUGAGAGGUGAAAUUCUUGGACCGCAGCGGGACGCACAACUGCGAAAGCAUU
This 840-nucleotide ribosomal RNA is filed under the name Demaniella sp. 1 GVDU-2019. RNAcentral describes it as "SSU rRNA". It matches the Rfam family "Eukaryotic small subunit ribosomal RNA", at positions 99 to 955 of the family's 1831-position model. The record is from RNAcentral. Lineage: Eukaryota; Metazoa; Nematoda; Chromadorea; Rhabditida; Diplogasteridae.